This 254-nucleotide ribosomal RNA is filed under the name uncultured bacterium. RNAcentral describes it as "partial 16S ribosomal RNA". It matches the Rfam family "Bacterial small subunit ribosomal RNA", at positions 524 to 776 of the family's 1533-position model. The record is from RNAcentral.
UACGUAGGGUGCGAGCGUUGUCCGGAAUUAUUGGGCGUAAAGAGCUCGUAGGCGGUGUGUCGCGUCGGCCGUGAAAACCUGCAGCUUAACUGUGGGCUUGCGGUCGAUACGGGCAUCACUGGAGUUCGGCAGGGGAGACUGGAAUUCCUGGUGUAGCGGUGAAAUGCGCAGAUAUCAGGAGGAACACCCGUGGCGAAAGCGGCUCUCUGGGACGGUACUGACGCUGAGACGCGAAAGCGUGGGGAGCAAACAGG